GAUGAACGCUGGCGGCGUGCCUAAUACAUGCAAGUCGAGCGAACAGACGAGGAGCUUGCUCCUCUGACGUUAGCGGCGGACGGAUGAGUAACACGUGGAUAACCUACCUAUAAGACUGGGAUAACUUCGGGAAACCGGAGCUAAUACCGGAUAAUAUAUUGAACCGCAUGGUUCAAUAGUGAAAGACGGUUUUGCUGUCACUUAUAGAUGGAUCCGCGCCGCAUUAGCUAGUUGGUAAGGUAACGGCUUACCAAGGCAACGAUGCGUAGCCGACCUGAGAGGGUGAUCGGCCACACUGGAACUGAGACACGGUCCAGACUCCUACGGGAGGCAGCAGUAGGGAAUCUUCCGCAAUGGGCGAAAGCUUGACGGAGCAACGCCGCGUGAGUGAUGAAGGUCUUCGGAUCGUAAAACUCUGUUAUUAGGGAAGAACAAAUGUGUAAGUAACUAUGCACGUCUUGACGGUACCUAAUCAGAAAGCCACGGCUAACUACGUG
RNAcentral lists this ribosomal RNA (497 nucleotides) under uncultured bacterium. Its description in RNAcentral is "partial 16S ribosomal RNA". It matches the Rfam family "Bacterial small subunit ribosomal RNA", at positions 28 to 507 of the family's 1533-position model. The record is from RNAcentral.